RNAcentral lists this ribosomal RNA (300 nucleotides) under uncultured Paracoccus sp. Its description in RNAcentral is "bacterial SSU rRNA". It matches the Rfam family "Bacterial small subunit ribosomal RNA", at positions 115 to 433 of the family's 1533-position model. The record is from RNAcentral. Lineage: Bacteria; Pseudomonadati; Pseudomonadota; Alphaproteobacteria; Rhodobacterales; Paracoccaceae.
GCGUGGGAACGUGCCCUUCUCUACGGAAUAGCCCCGGGAAACUGGGAGUAAUACCGUAUACGCCCUUUGGGGGAAAGAUUUAUCGGAGAAGGAUCGGCCCGCGUUGGAUUAGGUAGUUGGUGGGGUAAUGGCCCACCAAGCCGACGAUCCAUAGCUGGUUUGAGAGGAUGAUCAGCCACACUGGGACUGAGACACGGCCCAGACUCCUACGGGAGGCAGCAGUGGGGAAUCUUAGACAAUGGGGGCAACCCUGAUCUAGCCAUGCCGCGUGAGGAUGAAGGCCUUCGGGUUGUAAACUCC